This 544-nucleotide ribosomal RNA is filed under the name uncultured bacterium. RNAcentral's name for it is "bacterial SSU rRNA". It matches the Rfam family "Bacterial small subunit ribosomal RNA", at positions 777 to 1335 of the family's 1533-position model. The record is from RNAcentral.
AAUAGAUACCCCGGUAGUCCACGCCGUAAACGAUGGAUGCUAGCUGUUAUGAGUAUCGACCCUUGUAGUAGCGAAGCUAACGCGUUAAGCAUCCCGCCUGUGGAGUACGAGCGCAAGCUUAAAACAUAAAGGAAUUGACGGGGACCCGCACAAGCGGUGGAGCGUGUUGUUUAAUUCGAUGAUAAGCGAAGAACCUUACCAAGGCUUGACAUCCCUGGAAUUUCUCCGAAAGGAGAGAGUGCCUUCGGGAAUCAGGUGACAGGUGAUGCAUGGCCGUCGUCAGCUCGUGUCGUGAGAUGUUUGGUUAAGUCCAUCAACGAGCGCAACCCUUGUAAAUAGUUGAAUUUUUCUAUUUAGACUGCCUCGGUAACGGGGAGGAAGGAGGGGAUGAUGUCAGGUCAGUAUUUCCCUUACGCCUUGGGCUACAAACACGCUACAAUGGCCGGUACAAAGGGCAGCCAACCCGCGAGGGGAGCAAAUCCCAUCAAAACCGGUCUCAGUUCGGAUAGCAGGCUGAAAUUCGCCUGCUUGAAGCCGGAAUCGC